GACGAACGCUGGCGGCGUGCCUAAUACAUGCCAGUCGAGCGGACUUUCAAGAAGCUUGCUUUUUGAAAGUUAGCGGCGGACGGGUGAGUAACACGUGGGCAACCUGCCUGCAAGACGGGGAUAACUCCGGGAAACCGGGGCUAAUACCGGAUAAUAUCUUCCUUCGCAUGAAGGAAGGUUGAAAGGCGGCGCAAGCUGCCGCUUGCAGAUGGGCCCGCGGCGCAUUAGCUAGUUGGUGAGGUAACGGCUCACCAAGGCGACGAUGCGUAGCCGACCUGAGAGGGUGAUCGGCCACACUGGGACUGAGACACGGCCCAGACUCCUACGGGAGGCAGCAGUAGGGAAUCUUCCGCAAUGGACGAAAGUCUGACGGAGCAACGCCGCGUGAGCGAAGAAGGUCUUCGGAUCGUAAAGCUCUGUUGUCAGGGAAGAACAAGUACCGUUCGAACAGGGCGGUACCUUGACGGUACCUGACCAGAAAGCCACGGCUAACUACGUG
RNAcentral lists this ribosomal RNA (499 nucleotides) under uncultured bacterium. Its description in RNAcentral is "partial 16S ribosomal RNA". It matches the Rfam family "Bacterial small subunit ribosomal RNA", at positions 28 to 507 of the family's 1533-position model. The record is from RNAcentral.